Molecule: ribosomal RNA, 392 nt
Filed under: uncultured bacterium
Lineage: Bacteria
Description: partial 16S ribosomal RNA
Rfam family: Bacterial small subunit ribosomal RNA
Source: RNAcentral
AUACGGAGGAUCCGAGCGUUAUCCGGAAUUACUGGGCGUAAAGGGUGCGCAGGCGGCCAUUUAAGUCAGCGGUUAAAUCGUGGGGCUCAACCCCAUUCUGCCGUUGAUACUGGGUGGCUUGAUUGCGGUCGAGGUUGGCGGAAUUCGUUGUGUAGCGGUGAAAUGCAUAGAUAUGACGAAGAACACCGAUUGCGUAGGCAGCUGACCAGACCGCAAAUGACGCUCAUGCACGAAAGUGCGGGGAUCGAACAGGAUUAGAUACCCUGGUAGUCCGCACAGUAAACGAUGAAUACUUGUUUUCGGCGAUAUAAUGUCGGAGGCAAAGCGAAAGCGAUAAGUAUUCCACCUGGGGAGUACGCCGGCAACGGUGAAACUUAAAGGAAUUGACGGGG